CACACAGCCCGGGUGGCCGGCCCAAAAAGGGAGGUAACACCCAGGGAUUCGUACAUUAGAUGAAAUGGGAGAAUGCCUAUUAUCACUUCCUCCCAUUCUCUGUUUAUCAUUCCGUCCUUUGUCCUAAUUUUCUCUUUCUCAAUCGGCGUUCUCUCUCUCUCUCUCUUCGGUUUGCUGCAACACCAAGAGAGACAGAAAGAGACCAAGAGAGAGACAUCUGAUGCUGAGAAAACUCCCCUUCCACGUGUUCAUCUUCCACAAUGGUGACCCACUGGAGGCCCAACGCGCGCUCCGGAGAUGGUGACGAUAUUGGGGUUCAGUAGGUGGUGGCUCAAGUAAGGUUGUUUGUUUAAAUGCCGAACGGUGAUGGGUUAUUUUUCAGAAAAUGUUGGGUUUGAUUUUGUUCGAUUUCUGGAGGAAAUACCGAUUGGUGUUUGACAUUCCUUUGGGAUUUCAUGGGUUGCACCUUCAAGGAAGCACCAAUUAGUAUUCAAGUUGGCCUUUUGGCUUUUGAUUCUCACAUUUACGUUGUUAAUAGAAAUUGAGAAAAAGAAACAAGCACUGAAGAAUGAAGUUAGUUGGAUAUGUGUUAGACAUUCUUACUGCUAGGCGACUGUUGACGUAGUCCCUUUGGUGCUCUCAGCUGCUCUGCUGCUGAUUUGGUUGUAUUUAUUUUUCAGUUGUUAAUGAUAAAAGAUACUCAUUCAUCAAAAAAGCUCUGUUAUUUUUCAGUUGUUAAUGACUAAGAUAGCUCUGUUAAAUAUGGUGCCAUUUAUAAAAAAGCAUGACUUUUGCAUUUAGAAAUGCAAAUUUACUCUCCAAAAA
Molecule: long non-coding RNA, 825 nt
Organism: Alnus glutinosa
Lineage: Eukaryota; Viridiplantae; Streptophyta; Magnoliopsida; Fagales; Betulaceae
Exons: 2
Source: RefSeq, a predicted model, not a curated record